Molecule: small nucleolar RNA, 140 nt
Filed under: Phaseolus vulgaris (common bean)
Lineage: Eukaryota; Viridiplantae; Streptophyta; Magnoliopsida; Fabales; Fabaceae
Description: snoRNA snoR135
Rfam family: small nucleolar RNA snoR135
Source: Rfam by way of RNAcentral
UUUGUGGGGAUUGUGUGUAACAAUGUUUUGCUGUAAUAUUUUGCAUUACUCUGGAAGAGUUCCCCAAAACAAAUUUGGGGAAGAUGGGCAGUUGUAUUUCACUUUGAUGUGAAAAUAACAACAAUCAUCUCCCCACAAUU